RNAcentral lists this ribosomal RNA (253 nucleotides) under uncultured bacterium. Its description in RNAcentral is "partial 16S ribosomal RNA". It matches the Rfam family "Bacterial small subunit ribosomal RNA", at positions 524 to 776 of the family's 1533-position model. The record is from RNAcentral.
UACGAAGGGGGCUAGCGUUGCUCGGAAUCACUGGGCGUAAAGGGUGCGUAGGCGGGUUUUUAAGUCAGGGGUGAAAUCCUGGAGCCCAACUCCAGAACUGCCUUUGAUACUGAAGAUCUUGAGUCCGGGAGAGGUGAGUGGAACUGCGAGUGUAGAGGUGAAAUUCGUAGAUAUUCGCAAGAACACCAGUGGCGAAGGCGGCUCACUGGCCCGGUACUGACGCUGAGGCACGAAAGCGUGGGGAGCAAACAGG